GUGCUCACGUUGGGAGCACACAUACUAAAACUGGAAUAAUACAGAGGAGACUAGCAUAAGGAUGACACGCAAAUUUGUAAAGUGUUCCAUAUUAAA
Molecule: small nuclear RNA, 96 nt
Filed under: Saimiri boliviensis boliviensis (Bolivian squirrel monkey)
Lineage: Eukaryota; Metazoa; Chordata; Mammalia; Primates; Cebidae
Source: RNAcentral